Molecule: non-coding RNA, 30 nt
Filed under: Mus musculus (house mouse)
Lineage: Eukaryota; Metazoa; Chordata; Mammalia; Rodentia; Muridae
Source: RNAcentral
UGGGAGUCUAGACUCACAAGCAUUCUCUAC